Molecule: transfer RNA, 75 nt
Filed under: Actinomycetes bacterium
Lineage: Bacteria; Bacillati; Actinomycetota; Actinomycetes
Description: Actinobacteria bacterium tRNA-Thr
Rfam family: tRNA
About the family: Transfer RNA (tRNA) molecules are approximately 80 nucleotides in length. Their secondary structure includes four short double-helical elements and three loops (D, anti-codon, and T loops). Further hydrogen bonds mediate the characteristic L-shaped molecular structure. tRNAs have two regions of fundamental functional importance: the anti-codon, which is responsible for specific mRNA codon recognition, and the 3' end, to which the tRNAs corresponding amino acid is attached (by aminoacyl-tRNA synthetases). tRNAs cope with the degeneracy of the genetic code in two manners: having more than one tRNA (with a specific anti-codon) for a particular amino acid; and 'wobble' base-pairing, i.e. permitting non-standard base-pairing at the 3rd anti-codon position.
Source: RNAcentral
GCCUGAGUAGCUCAGUGGUAGAGCAGCCGCCUUGUAAGCGGCAGGUCGGGGGUUCGAAUCCCUUCUCAGGCUCUA